Chlorocebus sabaeus (green monkey) is the source of this 1390-nucleotide non-coding RNA. The record is from the annotation of a RefSeq genome assembly. Lineage: Eukaryota; Metazoa; Chordata; Mammalia; Primates; Cercopithecidae.
CCAUUUCCUGAGAAUAGAGAGAACCUGGCAAUGGGUGCCAGGAAGAGGGCACUUCGAGGUGUGCCCAGGCCUGGAGGGUCACAGACACAGGCACCACACAGCAGAGAUGCUGAGGGCCAGGAGCUCACUCAGGUGAGGGGCUUCCGCACAUCUCUCUCUCCUGAGCAAACCAUGUGCAAAGAAAUCAACUUCCUGUCAUCAGAAUAGACAAUCAGGGACUUUAGUCUCCUUGGCUAAGCCCCGCUGUCUAGGGAAGCAGAAGUCUCUGAGCCCAGGCCCAGGUGAGGGUGGGGUGAGGAGAGGAGCUCAGGGGGCAGAUUUGCAUGGAGGCCGCACCCUCCUCUGAGGCAGAGGGGAUAAGACAGGGCUGGGGGCAGGCCCAGAGCUGGGGUCUCAGGAGGCAGCACUCUCGGGACGUCUCCACCAUGGCUUGGGCUCUGCUCCUCCUCACCCUCCUCACUCAGGGCACAGGGUCCUGGGCUCAGGCUGCCCCGACUCAGUCUCCCUCUGUGUCUGGGUCUGCUGGACAGUCGGUCACCAUCUCCUGCACUGGAACCAGCAGUGACAUUGGUGGUUAUAACCGUGUCUCCUGGUACCAACAGCACCCAGGCAAAGCCCCCAAACUCAUGAUUUAUGAGGUCAGUAAGCGGCCCUCAGGGGUCUCUGAUCGCUUCUCUGGCUCCAAGUCUGGCAACACGGCCUCCCUGACCAUCUCUGGGCUCCAGGCUGAGGACGAGGCUGAUUAUUACUGCAGCUCAUAUGCAGGCAGCAACACUUUCCACAGUGGUCCAAGUUCAUGGGGAACUGAGACCAAAACCUGCCCUGGGCUCUCAGGUUCCCUUUUUGUUCUGAAGAUGCUUCCUCAACUGGUGCAAGCGGCUUCCUGUAGCACGGCCUUGACAAUUCUCAGCUCCUCUCCUUCCCUACUAUGAAGUCCAAAAGAAAACUUGCACUGUGGUUUCUCUUCUGGGACAGUUGAUAGUUUCCUGAUGAUUGUGUGUUGUGGUCCCUGAAUUGCAACUCUUCUCAGCUCUUCAAAUGCAGGGGACAGUGACAAGGAGCUGUCUGAUUCCCUGCUGUUUUCAGGAACAUCCUCAUCCUAAAAGCAUCCCCGCCUUCCUCGCUGUGGAGACCAAUCUGGACAGGAGUCAUUAGAGGGAGUUUCCAGAAAUUGCAUCUUACUCCACUCUGUGUCCUCCAUGCUCUUGUGAAGAUGGCCCUCCUGGCUGGGCUAUUACUCUGCACCUCUGUCCGGAGGCAGUGACCACUGAGGGAAGAUCUCAAGAUGUUUCUGAGAAAUUAGUAACAAAGAGGAAGCUGUUGUUUUUCUUAUUUCUGCUCCUCCUCUUUGCCCCAAUACCUCAGGUUGCUGAGCUAGGAGAUUUUGAGU